RNAcentral lists this long non-coding RNA (1401 nucleotides) under Mytilus galloprovincialis (Mediterranean mussel). Lineage: Eukaryota; Metazoa; Mollusca; Bivalvia; Mytilida; Mytilidae. The record is from RNAcentral.
CCUUGUUAGCGCAUCUCCUUCGCAACCGUAAAAGAUUAUGACAAAUUUAUUUUACAAAAUUGCUCGUUAUAUCCUUUGCAUGAUUUGUCCUAUUUUGACCGAAGCGAUAUGACCGCUCCAUAUGAGAGUUAUUUCCCCUUAUGCAUCUGAUAUAAGUGAUAUGAAUUUCUAUCUUAUAAACCAUAAGUGAUAGAGACCUAGGAUCUUUUGAUUUGAGGUCCUUGGUCCCAAAAAAUGAAAAUUAGGUCAAGGUCAAAGGUCAAGGUCAUAUUUUAAUAUUUGAAUUUGGCUUAUUUUCACUUAUAUCCAAAGACUGUAGAAGAUAUCAACAAAUUAUUUUUACUAAAUUGUUAGUUGCGACAUGUCGUAAGAUGUAAAUUUUGAUUGCAAGCGUACGUUGAAUGUGAAAGGGAGUUUUUCUCCCCUCUUGUAUUAAAAAAUACGCGUUUGGUGAUAUAACUCAUUAACUAAAUAUAAUUAAGACCUAUGGUCUUUUGAUUUGAGGUCCUUGGUUUAUGACCUUGAAAUUGAUCUCAAGGUCAUAGCUUAAUUUGACGUUCUAUAUUUUGACCUUUGCUUUUAUUCUAUAUGUAUACAUGAUAAAGAUAUACAACUUUUAGAAAAAGGUAUCAAAGCCAUUUAACCUUGAAAAAAACCAACCGGAAGUGACCUUUUUUAAACCGGAAGUAGCUAUUUUUUGUACUUUAUUAAGAUAAAAGUAUAUAGAACCAGAUAUUUUUGGAAUCGGUUUCAAGUAAAUAUUUAAAUAUAAUCGGAAGUAACAUUUUUCAAACCGGAAGUAACAAAUUAUCUCCCUUAUUUAAAAAAAAAUGUAUGGAAGCAAUAUAUUUUUUGGAAUCAGCUUACUAAAAGCUAUCAUUUUGACAAUUGAAAUGACAUUUUAAACUUAGUUUCACAACUUUUCAUAUCAAAAAGGAUGGAAAGACCUUCAAUUGUUCUCUGAAUUUUUUUUUUUUUUUCUUCCACCUAAUUUUGUUCUUGCGAUAAACAUUUGUUUUGCAAUAUGUCGCUUAGAUAUUUGGUAUAUGAUAUCGAACAAUUGAUGCGCUUUUGAAAUUUACCCUGCGUAACCGAAAACUUUUCUUUGUAGGAGUAAUCUCCCCAAACACUGUUUUCCUUGUGAGCGCAAACUCCUUCGCAAACGUAAAAUAUUAUGACAAAUUUAUUUUACAAAAUUGCUCGUUAUAUCCUUUGCAUGAUUUGUCCUAUUUUGACCGAAGUGAUAUGAAUGCUCCAUACGAGAGUUAUUUCCCUUAUUCAUUUGAUAAAAGUGAAUUGCAUUUCUAACUGGUAAACCAUAAUUGAUAGAGACCUAGGAUCUUUUGAUUUGAGGUCCUUGGUCCAAAAAAAUGAAAAAUUAGGUCAAGGUCAAAGGUCAAG